This 433-nucleotide ribosomal RNA is filed under the name uncultured bacterium. RNAcentral describes it as "partial 16S ribosomal RNA". It matches the Rfam family "Bacterial small subunit ribosomal RNA", at positions 29 to 507 of the family's 1533-position model. The record is from RNAcentral.
AACGAACGCUGGCGGCAGGCCUAACACAUGCAAGUCGAGCGCGCCCUUCGGGGUGAGCGGCGGACGGGUGAGUAACGCGUGGGAACGUGCCCUUUUCUACGGAAUAGCCUCGGGAAACUGAGAGUAAUACCGUAUACGCCCUUUGGGGGAAAGAUUUAUCGGAAAAGGAUCGGCCCGCGUUGGAUUAGGAAGUUGGUGGGGUAAUGGCCUACCAAGCCGACGAUCCAUAGCUGGUUUGAGAGGAUGAUCAGCCACACUGGGACUGAGACACGGCCCAGACUCCUACGGGAGGCAGCAGUGGGGAAUCUUAGACAAUGGGGGCAACCCUGAUCUAGCCAUGCCGCGUGAGUGAUGAAGGCCUUAGGGUUGUAAAGCUCUUUCAGCUGGGAAGAUAAUGACGGUACCAGCAGAAGAAGCCCCGGCUAACUCCGUG